GAGCUGAAGUCAGACGCUUAACCAACUAAGCCACCCAGCUGCCCCCCGAAUAAUCCUUUUCAAACUUAAGUGAGACCUACUCAGCACCCUCCAGUGGCUUCCCAUUCCAGGCAGAGUAAAGGGCAAAGGGUCAAGUCUUUGGUCGCGAGGGCCCUGCAUGAGCUGUUUCCCCAGUGACCUCCUAUACCCGGGCUCUGCUCUUGCAGCUUGACCAUUAAGACCGUCUAGCUCUUCCAAGAAUAGCACCAAGGCCUCUCCUGCCUGAUGGCCUUCGCAUUCAUUUGUUGUUCUCUUGGCCUGGAAUGCUCUUCCCUAAGCUGCCCACAUUCCUUCAGGUCUCUGCUCAAGUAUCACCUGCGCUCCUCAUGUAAAAUGGCAACUCUCCCUGGCUCUCCCACCUUCCCACAUUCAUUACUCCCUGUUGAUCGCACCAUGCUUUGUCUCCGUAGCAUGAACUGCUGCUUGAUAGAAUGGAUUUGUUUAUGUAUCUACCGUCUGGGCUCCUCCACCAGAACGUAAGCUCCAUGACAUCACAGACUAUUGUCUUGGCUUCUGUAUUCCUAUCGCCUAGUGACUACUCAAUAAAUACGUGCUGCAGAAAUAACUGGAUGGAGGAAAAUUUCAUGGAUGGGGGUGCUUAUCUAUGGCUCCCCUUCUGCUCCUCCCUGACCCCAGAGUCUGCAGUGGGAGGCAUGGCCACGCAGCCCAAAACGGUGAAGGAGAAGGGUUUCAGCUUCCUGUGCAAGAAAGGCCCAACUGUGCUAAGGUUGACGUCAGAACCAGAGAACGCCCUGCUUGGCCUCCCCAUCUCCAACCUGCCCACAAAUGGAGAUUUGUCUGAGAUGACAAUAUGGCUAACAUUUGGACAGCACUUCCAACCGGUUCUUAAAACGGCCGGGGGAUGGUUAGCAGAUGAGAAAACUGAAGAGAGAGUGAUGUGACUAGAAGAAACUAACACUCUGUGGCCAUCAUAUAAAAGAAGUAACCCUGGGGGGCUCUGCCUUCCACCUAUGUCCCCGACAGUCUGGGUGUAAGCGGAGUGGUGAGUGGACAGAGAAAGGGCACUGGAGACAGUCAGGCUGGUUUUGGAGAACCAGUGCUGCCCCUUCUCAGCUGUAUGACUACAGAAAUCUACUUGACCUCUCCGAGCCUCGCCUUCUUUCUGUGUCUUCAAAGUUGUAUGGCAUUUUUCCUACCUUACAGGACUGCUGUGAAGACUUCAAGGGAUAAUGUAUGCAAAGUGCUUAGCGCACUGCUGACACAUGGUAGACACACACACAUGCUGUUAUACUAAUAAUAAAAAGUAAUAGGCAGGUGGCCA
Herpailurus yagouaroundi (jaguarundi) is the source of this 1321-nucleotide long non-coding RNA. RefSeq lists it as uncharacterized. NCBI's taxonomy places the organism in Eukaryota, Metazoa, Chordata, Mammalia, Carnivora, Felidae. The transcript has 2 exons. The record is from RefSeq and is a predicted model, not a curated record.